GCCAAAAUAAAAAAAUUAUUGCUGGAGAAAAUUUUGUCAGUCAUUUACAUAGCAAUAAGAACAUACCUUUUCUCUUCUUUGUGGCUUUCUUUUCUAUAUCUCAAUAAUCCACAAUCAGAACACUAAACUGUACAUGAACUGGCAUUAUAUUUACAGCACCAUUUGGCCAGUCCCAAAUAGCAUUCUCUACAGCAUAUAUAAUUCGUUGGUCCUAGUUGUUUCUAUGCACAUGAAAGAGUUUAUUCCAUAAUACAUUUUGAUGAUAAUUCUCCUUUUACAAAUUUAAUUCUUCCUUUCCAUAGAUACACUGAAGCUCGAGAGUUGCGACUUGAAAUGAUUCUGAGAAGAAAAAUGGGAAAGAUAUGACACGGCAUAGGGUCAUCGGUGCCACUAAGAGUUUGCAAAAGGCAAAAGGGUUUAAACUUCUAAGCCCCCUUCCUAAUAAAAUAAAAUAAAAAAUCUAGUGCAAUUUCUUAGAAAACGUUGAAGAGCGUGGUUGCUACCAUAGUUCCCCUUUUAGAAACCUGCUCAAGACUGUUCCACAACUUCACAAUGGCCUUUACAAAAUAUAUGCUUCUAUGCAUGCCGAAUGAGUGCUCAAAUCCCAAAGAUUCAAUACAAAAAGAAGAAAACAACCCAUUACCUUUCCAUAUGCGAAAAGAUUUCUGAUAUAUAGGUGCUCCAAACACAGUUUGAAUUACAUCAAAUAACAGGCUUUCAGGAGUGCCCCUUAAUUCUUGUACAAUCUGAUAGAUGGUCUUUCCAUUCUCAAAGUAUAUAUGAUUGUUCGGAUGUUUUGUCUUGCAACCAGCAUGGCGUUCAAACUCAUAUGCAUUAAGCACCUUGGAGUAGUUACAUGAUUGACAACUACAGAGAUAGCCAGAACCUUUUAUAAUGCCAUGAAGCUCCUUUUUACAUUCACCACAUAAUGUCAGUAAAUAACAAAUCUGAUAAACAAAUAAACAAGCAUAAGGAGAGGGGAAAAAAAAGGACCUUACCUCCCUCGACAAAGAAACCUACUUUACAUGGACCCUAUCCAGCAUACCAGUUAAAAUGAAACUUCUGACAUUUGAAGGGAAGCUGUUUGGAGCUUCUUUUCGGGUUGUUUUGACCUCUUGUUUGUUCCUGGAAACAGAUUCAGGUUUUGACUUAGCUACCUGGGAAUUACUUGGAGCUGCAUUGGCAUUUGAUGCAUCCAAUUCUUUUUCAUGAACUGCUUCUGGUGUUUAAGCUGAGGAUUUAUUGUAUGUUUGAUCAUAACUGUUGAUGGUUGUGCAAACACGUAUAAUAUCAUGUGCAUCAUGAAAUCCCCCGAAAGAUAUCAUAUUGGCAUCUUCUUUACUGUAGGUGCCACUUAUUGGAAUAUUGUCAUCUCCUUUGAUAUAUGCAUUACAUGUUGAUACAAUGUGGGCAUCUCCAUUGUAGCUGUGACCCAUUAAUGGGAUAUUGCCAUGCUUCUUAUCAUAGGCCUGCCCCAUUGGUAUAAAACUACUUUCAUCUUCCCUAUUAAAGGUAUGACCUGUAGAGAUAUCACUGUUACUCUCAUUGAUAAAACUGUGUCCCUUUGGAUCAUGCAUACCAUUGUCCGAGCCCUUAACUUGAUUGACUUUUCGAGCCCUUAACUUGAUUGACUUUUAACUUUUCUAAAACCAUUGUAGCUAAGACGCUUCAGCAUCUUCCAAAUUGUGAGAUAUAGAGAGACUAACAAGUGCAUUUGAGUCAUCUGUUCCAGGACACAUGGCUCUUUCAGAAACUUGCUGUUUCAGGUGCAAAUAACCGGUGAAUAAAUUGGUUUGGAACUGACUGAAAACCAGUGGAGUUAUCCCAAGAAGAAAUAUUUGCACUGGAAAUUUGUGAACUUGACGUGCUGUUAUGUGUUAGCAGUGCUUGCUUCUUGUUUGAGAACAACUCAGGUUCAGCUGCAUGUAAAAACCACUGGUGAGACCGUUUAGGUUCAACUCUUGAAGGAUUAUCAAAAGAUGAAUCUCUUUCAGCAACACUUGCCAUCCAAAAACACUUGUCCUGAAAAGACUGCCAGAUAUUAGAUCAGAAGUUGCUUCCUUCGUUCAUAGGCGCAUAUGCAUGUGCAGAUACACAAAUAAAACUUCAUAAGGAUAUCAGAAAUUAUUUCUCAUAAAUGGAAAAAGAAAAAGGAAACAUGGAACAACUCCUCAACAGGAGAACCCAAAAAAAGAAAAUAAUGAGAAAAAUUCAUGUUCCUCCAUAACUAAUAUUUCUACAAAUUUUUAAAAUGUCACUAGAAUACUAUUCCGAUAUCUACUCAAACUAACAAGGUUUCUCAACUUGCAACUUU
Molecule: unclassified non-coding RNA, 2314 nt
Filed under: Hevea brasiliensis (rubber tree)
Lineage: Eukaryota; Viridiplantae; Streptophyta; Magnoliopsida; Malpighiales; Euphorbiaceae
Source: RNAcentral